AUGGGGUGACUGCGUACCUUUUGUAUAAUGGGUCAGCGACUUAUAUUCUGUAGCAAGGUUAACCGAAUAGGGGAGCCGAAGGGAAACCGAGUCUUAACUGGGCGUUAAGUUGCAGGGUAUAGACCCGAAACCCGGUGAUCUAGCCAUGGGCAGGUUGAAGGUUGGGUAACACUAACUGGAGGACCGAACCGACUAAUGUUGAAAAAUUAGCGGAUGACUUGUGGCUGGGGGUGAAAGGCCAAUCAAACCGGGAGAUAGCUGGUUCUCCCCGAAAGCUAUUUAGGUAGCGCCUCGUGAAUUCAUCUCCGGGGGUAGAGCACUGUUUCGGCAAGGGGGUCAUCCCGACUUACCAACCCGAUGCAAACUGCGAAUACCGGAGAAUGUUAUCACGGGAGACACACGGCGGGUGCUAACGUCCGUCGUGAAGAGGGAAACAACCCAGACCGCCAGCUAAGGUCCCAAAGUCAUGGUUAAGUGGGAAACGAUGUGGGAAGGCCCAGACAGCCAGGAUGUUGGCUUAGAAGCAGCCAUCAUUUAAAGAAAGCGUAAUAGCUCACUGGUCGAGUCGGCCUGCGCGGAAGAUGUAACGGGGCUAAACCAUGCACCGAAGCUGCGGCAGCGACACUAUGUGUUGUUGGGUAGGGGAGCGUUCUGUAAGCCUGUGAAGGUGUACUGUGAGGUAUGCUGGAGGUAUCAGAAGUGCGAAUGCUGACAUAAGUAACGAUAAAGCGGGUGAAAAGCCCGCUCGCCGGAAGACCAAGGGUUCCUGUCCAACGUUAAUCGGGGCAGGGUGAGUCGACCCCUAAGGCGAGGCCGAAAGGCGUAGUCGAUGGGAAACAGGUUAAUAUUCCUGUACUUGGUGUUACUGCGAAGGGGGGACGGAGAAGGCUAUGUUGGCCGGGCGACGGUUGUCCCGGUUUAAGCGUGUAGGCUGGUUUUCCAGGCAAAUCCGGAAAAUCAAGGCUGAGGCGUGAUGACGAGGCACUACGGUGCUGAAGCAACAAAUGCCCUGCUUCCAGGAAAAGCCUCUAAGCAUCAGGUAACAUCAAAUCGUACCCCAAACCGACACAGGUGGUCAGGUAGAGAAUACCAAGGCGCUUGAGAGAACUCGGGUGAAGGAACUAGGCAAAAUGGUGCCGUAACUUCGGGAGAAGGCACGCUGAUAUGUAGGUGAAGUCCCUCGCGGAUGGAGCUGAAAUCAGUCGAAGAUACCAGCUGGCUGCAACUGUUUAUUAAAAACACAGCACUGUGCAAACACGAAAGU
This 1264-nucleotide ribosomal RNA is filed under the name Escherichia coli. RNAcentral's name for it is "partial 23S ribosomal RNA". It matches the Rfam family "Bacterial large subunit ribosomal RNA", at positions 588 to 1838 of the family's 2925-position model. Lineage: Bacteria; Pseudomonadati; Pseudomonadota; Gammaproteobacteria; Enterobacterales; Enterobacteriaceae. The record is from RNAcentral.